RNAcentral lists this long non-coding RNA (288 nucleotides) under Carica papaya (papaya). Its description in RNAcentral is "long non-coding RNA (CPAP_LNC002181)". Lineage: Eukaryota; Viridiplantae; Streptophyta; Magnoliopsida; Brassicales; Caricaceae. The record is from RNAcentral.
UUUGAAAUUCUUUCUGAACUUCCAUUCUUGUUUUACAUUUUGGUCUACAUGUAAGUUUAAAAAUCUCAUUAUUAUGUGAAAUACAUACGAUAAAUUAUAGGAUAAUAAAUUAAACUAAUUUUAUUUUUUAUCUUCAUUAUUCAAGGAAUAAUAAUCAUCAGUGGACCAAAUGCAAUUAAAAAAUGCUAAAUUAUGUUCAUAUCAUUGUUACAUGAAUUAUGAAUCCCUAAGAAACCAUAAAAUAUAGUAGUAAUUACAUGACUUCUCUAAAUAUAAAAUUCAUGGCUA